This 715-nucleotide ribosomal RNA is filed under the name Nocardiopsis terrae. Its description in RNAcentral is "bacterial SSU rRNA". It matches the Rfam family "Bacterial small subunit ribosomal RNA", at positions 57 to 775 of the family's 1533-position model. Lineage: Bacteria; Bacillati; Actinomycetota; Actinomycetes; Streptosporangiales; Nocardiopsidaceae. The record is from RNAcentral.
GCAGUCGAGCGGUAAGGCCCUUCGGGGUACACGAGCGGCGAACGGGUGAGUAACACGUGAGCAACCUGCCCCUGACUCCGGGAUAAGCGGUGGAAACGCCGUCUAAUACCGGAUAUGACACACCAUCUCCUGGUGGUGUGUGGAAAGUUUUAUCGGUCAGGGAUGGGCUCGCGGCCUAUCAGCUUGUUGGUGGGGUAAAGGCCUACCAAGGCGAUUACGGGUAGCCGGCCUGAGAGGGCGACCGGCCACACUGGGACUGAGACACGGCCCAGACUCCUGCGGGAGGCAGCAGUGGGGAAUAUUGCACAAUGGGCGAAAGCCUGAUGCAGCGACGCCGCGUGGGGGAUGACGGCCUUCGGGUUGUAAACCUCUUUUACCACCAACGCAGGCCCCGGGUUCUCUCGGGGUUGACGGUAGGUGGGGAAUAAGGACCGGCUAACUACGUGCCAGCAGCCGCGGUAAUACGUAGGGUCCGAGCGUUGUCCGGAAUUAUUGGGCGUAAAGAGCUCGUAGGCGGCGUGUCGCGUCUGCUGUGAAAGACCGGGGCUUAACCCCGGUUCUGCAGUGGAUACGGGCAUGCUAGAGGUAGGUAGGGGAGACUGGAAUUCCUGGUGUAGCGGUGAAAUGCGCAGAUAUCAGGAGGAACACCGGUGGCGAAGGCGGGUCUCUGGGCCUUACCUGACGCUGAGGAGCGAAAGCAUGGGGGAGCGAACAG